RNAcentral lists this ribosomal RNA (253 nucleotides) under uncultured bacterium. Its description in RNAcentral is "partial 16S ribosomal RNA". It matches the Rfam family "Bacterial small subunit ribosomal RNA", at positions 524 to 776 of the family's 1533-position model. The record is from RNAcentral.
GACAGAGGCCUCAAGCGUUAGGCGGAAUCACUGGGCUUAAAGCGUGUGUAGGCGGAUCGUUAAGUGUCUUGUGAAAUCCCACGGCUCACCCGUGGAACGGCUGGGCAUACUGGCGAUCUUGGGCCAACUAGGGGCAACUGGAACAAGCGGUGGAGCGGUGAAAUGCGUAGAUAUCGGAAAGAACACCAACGGCGAAAGCACUCUGCUGGGCCGACACUGACACUGAGAGACGAAAGCUAGGGGAGCGAAUGGG